RNAcentral lists this ribosomal RNA (396 nucleotides) under uncultured bacterium. RNAcentral's name for it is "partial 16S ribosomal RNA". It matches the Rfam family "Bacterial small subunit ribosomal RNA", at positions 523 to 918 of the family's 1533-position model. The record is from RNAcentral.
AUACGUAGGGUGCGAGCGUUGUCCGGAAUUACUGGGCGUAAAGGGUGCGUAGGCGGGGAAGCAAGUCAGCAGUGAAAUCUCUGGGCUUAACUCAUAACGUGCUGUUGAAACUGUUUUUCUUGAGUGAGUCAGAGGCAGGUGGAAUUUCCCGUGUAGCGGUGAAAUGCAUAGAGAUAGGGAGGAACACCAGUGGAGAAGGCGGCCUGCUGGGGCUUAACUGACGCUGAGGCACGAAAGCGGGGGGAGAAAACAGGAUUAGAUACCCUGGUAGUCCACGCCGUAAACGAUGAUUACUAGGUGUGUGGGGAGUGACCCCCUACGUGCCGGAGUUAACACAAUAAGUAAUCCACCUGGGGAGUACGGCCGCAAGGUUGAAACUCAAAUGAAUUGACGGGG